GUUUCAAGAUCCUAUAGAAUUGAGAUAAUUAUUUAAAAUUCAACAGAUAACACAAAGAAAUUGGAAAAAUGCAUUAAUACAUUGAAAUUCUGCGACAAUGGAACAAGUAAAUGAGGAUAUAACUAGUUUCUAAUUACAUAGUAUAUAUUAUCUGGAGAAACAAAAUAAGAUUGUGAAGUCUUCAGACUAAGCUUCCGAAAUACGCUUCUUCAAAAGACAUCAACUUCCUAGAAUUUCACCAUACUUUGUGAUCUGCAUGAGGGAACAACACAAACAUGACAACAAAAUAUUGAAAGCUGAAGAGAUCAGCAUGCACAGGUGUAUAUUAAUAUGAUUAAUAAGCUAUGACAAAACAUGCACUAAAAAAUCAUAUGUACAUGCAUUAAAAACGAGCUCAUACAGUAGAUAAGUGAAUUGAUAUGUGAGUUUCUAAACUCAUCAUACUUUCAUACAAGCACUGAAUUCAACAGAAGUGCACAACAGUGUGAAAAUCAUGUCAGAGAAAAUGUGCAUGCGUUUAUCUCACUUCAGAAAUAAUCCUAGUUUUAUCUCAAAGGUAACCAUUAACAUCUUUCAAACUAUAUGCGAUGAUAUAGUUCCAAAAGGAACAACUUAGGAAAUAAACAAAUAAAUUUAAUAUAUUGAUAAUAUAGGAAUUGAUGUCAGGUCAUUUGCCUCCAUGAGCUGAUAAUCUGGUAACACAUUUAUACGAAUUUGCAACUAGGAACAAUGAAAUUGCUCAACUACUAGAUAUAAAUAUAAAAUAUCUAUCUUAAGUGCUAUUACUUGGAUAUUGCCUGCCAAAAAUAUAUAGCACAAAUAGACAUAUUUGCUUCAUCAAAACCUCACAUAAACUCCUAUAUAAUUUUGGUGAAAAUUCGGCACUGUAUUUCCUUCUUUUUAAGAGUGUAAACAAGAUCCAAUCAUAACUGCGUUGAGCUUUUGAUCAAACACGAAAAAAAAGUAAUAACCACUUAGUGCAAACCUCCAAAACAUUCAAGUUUUUUCAGAAGUUGUUUUAUGGAAUAAGUUGAUAAGCUCAACUAUAAAAAAGAUUUUUAUAGAAGUUGGUUGCAGUACAAUAUAAUGAAUGAAUUUUAAUUCUAGAUGUGUGCAUUAUUUCAUAUCAUGUAAAAAAAGGGCUACUACUUGCUUUUAGGGUCAACACAUUCCAGCAACAAUGGUCAAAUUUGGAUGUAAAAUUGUUGAUAUCUAGGGUGCAAAGUAAUUGAAUAUAUGGGAGCAAGAUGUCACAUGAACAAAUAGAUGACAAUUAGGAGCAAAUGAAAGAAAUGUGCUCCCUAGGAGGAAUACAGAAUGCAGGGAACAGAGAUGCCAGAUACCCCACAAGAAAAAUGGCACAAAAGCACAAGUUCCCUUACUACAGUAUGGACGUUCAGAGUAUAGUUCUUACAGUAUGGACGUUCAAUGUACAGUUCUUACAAUUGAGGUACUGCUUAACUAUGUUAUACGAAAUAUUUGACGUUAGUAUAUAAAGUAGACUUCAACUCAUGCAUCUCCAGGUCAAGGAUUUGCCCCCUUAUUUGACAAUAGAUAAUGUCAUGUUGAGAAACAGUUUCAGGAUACAUAUAAUAAUUUGCCAGUGGCUAGCAGACAUCAGAAAUGCUUAUGCAGUAGCACCUUUCAAACGUUAGUACAACUGAAUGCUCAUUACAAAUCUAAGCACAAAGAAUACAGGCUCAAUGCCAAACGUGAGCAAACAAAACGACACAUGUUCUUGUAUUUUUCGAAUUCAGAGGACAAAAAUCAACAAGUGGCAUUCACCCAAACAGCUACGAGAGAAAGUAGGCCAACUAUGCACAUCAAAGAGUUUCUUACCAGUUACCAUGAUGGCGCCGUCGAUGAGGCCACUGUUGGCAGGCGUGCAGUCGACAUUGUCUAGCUCAACACAGAGGAAGAUGGAGUCUGCAGGAGCUCAACAACGAUGGUCGUCCAAGUCGUCGAUGCAGGGGUGCCGACUCUGCGCGCAGUCCAACUCCGCUCACUAGUCAAGCUCGAGGUCAGCUACCGUGUGAGCUGCGAGCAGUUCGUACAACCUGAACAAAGAUACAGAAAAUGAGAAAGAAAUGAGGAGAAGAACCAGCCAGAGUUCUAAGAGAGGGACCAACCGAAUCUGCGUGGCUGUCGGCCUGAGAUGAGCCUACACCGGAUCUGGUGGCCGAGCUCUACUGAUGGAUACCAUUAUGCUCAGGCCACCAGAUCCCGUCAGCCCUCCGUCAUUGCCGCCCCUGUUGGUGAUGGUGGAGCUCAACUGCUCAAGG
This 2282-nucleotide long non-coding RNA is filed under the name Triticum aestivum (bread wheat). RNAcentral's name for it is "long non-coding RNA (TAES_LNC009553)". The record is from RNAcentral. Lineage: Eukaryota; Viridiplantae; Streptophyta; Magnoliopsida; Poales; Poaceae.